AUUGAACGCUGGCGGCAUGCCUUACACAUGCAAGUCGAACGGUAACGGGCCUUCGGGUGCCGACGAGUGGCGAACGGGUGAGUAAUACAUCGGAACGUGCCCGAUCGUGGGGGAUAACGAGGCGAAAGCUUUGCUAAUACCGCAUACGAUCUACGGAUGAAAGCAGGGGACCGCAAGGCCUUGCGCGGACGGAGCGGCCGAUGGCAGAUUAGGUAGUUGGUGGGAUAAAAGCUUACCAAGCCGACGAUCUGUAGCUGGUCUGAGAGGAUGAUCAGCCACACUGGGGCUGAGACACGGCCCAGACUCCUACGGGAGGCAGCAGUGGGGAAUUUUGGACAAAGGGCGCAAGCCUGAUCCAGCCAUGCCGCGUGCAGGAUGAAGGCCUUCGGGUUGUAAACUGCUUUUGUACGGAACGAAAAGCCUUCUUUUAAUACAGGAGGGUCAUGACGGUACCGUAAGAAUAAGCACCGGCUAACUACGUG
RNAcentral lists this ribosomal RNA (482 nucleotides) under uncultured bacterium. RNAcentral describes it as "partial 16S ribosomal RNA". It matches the Rfam family "Bacterial small subunit ribosomal RNA", at positions 30 to 507 of the family's 1533-position model. The record is from RNAcentral.